Molecule: non-coding RNA, 1865 nt
Organism: Elaeis guineensis (African oil palm)
Lineage: Eukaryota; Viridiplantae; Streptophyta; Magnoliopsida; Arecales; Arecaceae
Source: RefSeq, a predicted model, not a curated record
GACCAAUGGAAAGACAUCAUAUCAGAAGAACAAAUAAAAUAAUACGCACGGGGGAGAAGCGAGGGAGCGGCAUGAAGAGGGAAGCGGCGGGAGAGAAGCGCGCGUACGGGGGGAUGGCGGCGAAGCCCUGCGACUCGUGUAAGGCCUCGCCGGCGCUCCUCUACUGCCGCGCCGACUCCGCCUACCUCUGCGGCACGUGCGACGCACGCGUCCAUGGAGCCAACCUGCUCGCCUCCCGUCACGGGCGGGUCUGGCUUUGCGAGGUCUGCGAGCAGGCCCCCGCCAGCGUCACCUGCAAGGCCGACGCCGCCGCCCUCUGCGACACCUGCGACGCCGACAUCCACUCCUCCAACCCCCUCGCCCACCGCCACGAGCGCCUCCCAGUUGUCCCCUUCCUCGGCCUCGCCACCGCGGCUGGCGGCGAGUUUCUCACGCCUCGCCCUUCCGCUGAUGAGGAGAGCGUUUCCUGGCUCUUCCCUGAUCCGGAUCCGGAGGAAUCGAUGGAGGCGCUGGAACUCGGAUCGGCGGACUUCUUCUUCUCGGAUGCCGACCCGUACCUGGAUCUGGACUACUCAGUCUACUCUAUGUCGCUGGACACCGGAUUCGAUCGCAAGGACGGCAUCAAGCCCAUCGCCGGUGGACCCCUCCUCGCAUCGGACGGCUAUUUCGAUCCCGACUUUGCCCGACCCAAAUCUUUCUACGGCCGCUCCACCAAACGUUCCCUCACUCGCAGCGCAUCGUCGUCGGAGGUAGCGGUGGUGCCAGACGAGAGCGCGACAGCGGCGGACGCGUCGGCGAGGUCGGGGAAUCCGACGGUGCAGAUGGAGCGGGAGGCGCGUGUGAUGAGGUACCGGGAGAAGAGGAAAAGCCGGCGGUUCGAGAAGACGAUCCGGUACGCAUCCCGGAAAGCUUACGCGGACGCGCGGCCGCGGAUCAAGGGGAGGUUCGCAAAGCGGGCGGAAGUGGAGGCGAAGGUGGGCCGGAUCUACUCCUCCGCCGCCGAUGCUGUGGCGGCGUUCUUGGUAGAUCCCUGCGACGGCGUCGUCCCGUCGCUUUGAUCGAAUGUUGGCAUAAUAGAUGCUGGUACGGCUCAAGAUAGUAGGUAUGAGCAUAUGGUUGCAAGAUUUUAUAUCAAUGAUAGGUAUAUUCGAAAUUAUUACUUUUCUCUAGUAUUUGUAAGUGAAUUAUCAUUAUUUUUAGGGACCUUAUUUGGAAGGAGGAUACCACAUAUAGUUCUAUAUGGGUUGAAGACUUGAGCCUAUGCAAAUUAUUAUCUUCAGAGGCAAUAUCUAAUGAUGUUGCUCUUGCUCGCUUAUUUUAUGGUGCUUGUAUCAUUUUAUCCCACAAUGUCUCAAGCCAUGUUGAUAUUGAUGGGAGUUGGUUGGCUUUUUCUUGCUCUAUCACUCUGUUCAUGGUAAUUCGCUGGUUCAAUACUAACAAAUAUAAAAUGGUUUGACAUUGAUGAGCUUUUUCGGACUAUGGUUGAAACAUUGUCGAGAUAUUGUGCUUGAAGACUACUCUGUGGAACACAUAUCAGAUUGUCGGGAUCAAGAUGGAGAUGUUAAUUGUAGGGUCCAUGUUUGCCUAUGGGUUCAGUCCUUCUCCAGGAGUAGUAAAAAAUUUUGGACAGCGAUGAAGACUUGCAGCAUGAACUGGUAUAGGACUCAUAUGGCACACCAUAAUCUGAUGGAUCACCGAAGCACUCAAAAGGAGGGCAUUGAGAAAUACAUAGCUGAGCGACAUAAGGAUUAAGUAUUAUUUUAUUGUCAAAUAUUUUGGACAUUUGAUGUAUGGGCAUUAUUUUGGACAUAUUCAAUUACUGUGGUACUACUUUAAGUUGCAAUACUAUGAUAUGCUCUUUUGGA